AGCUGAGAGGUGGUGCAUGGCCGUCGUCAGUUCGUACUGUGAAGCAUCCUGUUAAGUCAGGCAACGAGCGAGACCCACGUCCACAGUUGCCAGCAUACCCUCCCGGGGUGAUGGGUACACUGUGGAGACCGCCGCUGCUAAAGCGGAGGAAGGAGUGGGCAACGGUAGGUCAGUAUGCCCCGAAUCUCCCGGGCUACACGCGGGCUACAAUGGUUGGUACAAUGGGCAUCUACCCCGAAAGGGGAAGGAAAUCUCUUAAAGCCAAUCGUAGUUCGGAUUGAGGGCUGCAACUCGCCCUCAUGAAGCUGGAAUCGCUAGUAAUCGCGUUUCAACAGAACGCGGUGAAUACGUCCCUGCUCCUU
Molecule: ribosomal RNA, 362 nt
Filed under: uncultured Methanosaeta sp.
Lineage: Archaea; Methanobacteriati; Methanobacteriota; Methanomicrobia; Methanotrichales; Methanotrichaceae
Description: bacterial SSU rRNA
Rfam family: Archaeal small subunit ribosomal RNA
Source: RNAcentral